AGUUGCAAAAUGGACGCAAUUUUUUCACUUAUUGCCAAUAAAUACCUGCAUUAGCAAUAAUUGAUAUGUCUAGUAAAUGCGGGAUACUUAUAAAGGCGCUGGACUGCGAUGGGUAUCAUUCGUUAGUCGCAAAACCGGCCGAACAAUGUGGAAACUCGGAUUUUUGUUUUUCCUUGCCAUGUGUGCUGCUAGGGCCGCACCCAAACCGGGCCUCAGAUCGCCAUAUGAAGUGCUCUCAACUUAUACAGGAUCCUAUCUUCCAGCUUACGCUCUUCGCUCCUACUGGCCGUCCUACUAUGGUUACCCAUGGUGGGGAAAAUACGGAUACUACGGAUAUGGGUGGUGAGGGGCCGAUAGCGAUCUUCUAGAGCACGUUUGCAUUAUUUAUAUGUAUUUUUGAUAAUAAUGAUAAUAAGCUGGCUUACAA
Cylas formicarius (sweet potato weevil) is the source of this 427-nucleotide long non-coding RNA. RefSeq lists it as uncharacterized. The record is from RefSeq and is a predicted model, not a curated record. NCBI's taxonomy places the organism in Eukaryota, Metazoa, Arthropoda, Insecta, Coleoptera, Brentidae. The transcript is spliced from 2 exons.